AUCGAUGAUCCCUGGGCUGAUAACAGUCCUCUUUCCUUCCAAAUAGCUCCCAUGAGCAUGAAUCACACCAAAUGCAUAUUUAGAAUCAGUCCAGAUAUUUGUCCUCUGUCUUGCUGCCAUUCGCAAGGCCUGCUUUAAAGCCACCAAUUCUGCUUUCUGUGCCGAGGUAUUUGCAGGCAGGGUCUCUGACUCCAAUACCUUUAUGGUGGUGACGAUGGCAUAUCCGGCUAUUUAUUUCCCUCCUUGUACAAAACUGCUUCCAUCGGGAACUUGCUCGGAAUUCUUCGGUCUGGGGAUCAGAGGUUCUCCCCGAGAAUCCCUCGGUGCCGGCUGGAGGUCCCGUGAUCCCACGGAUCCGUCGAGAUUCACAAGCGUCGUCCCAUCUGGGUCGCCAAAACUGUCACCGAAAUUGGGAGGAAUAAACCUCGUAACACCAAGGCAAUUUUCAUCAAUCCCGCUAGUAGAGCAACACUUGUUCAAGUUCUCACGGCGUUUUCCUCCUUUCAGAAGCAUCACCGUAGACUUUUGUGGAUCUCUCCCGCGCCGCUUCUGCCCUUGUGGACGAUUGGCCAGCGUAAAGGACAAAGGGAGCUCUGCCGCUUGGUCUCCUCGCCGUGCGGUUUGGAGGUUUGGGUGCCCGAGCCCCGGCAGCGUGGCUUUUAGGGGAGCCGGGCGGUGGCGGCCUGAGCGGGGCCCGUGGCUCUGGGCGGUGCCGCUGCCCUGCUGGGUGGUCUGGGCGGGCGGGGCCCGCGGGCAGGGGCGGGGCCGUCGCCCUCCUCCCCGUGC
This is a long non-coding RNA of Egretta garzetta (little egret), 786 nucleotides long. RefSeq lists it as uncharacterized. Lineage: Eukaryota; Metazoa; Chordata; Aves; Pelecaniformes; Ardeidae. The record is from RefSeq and is a predicted model, not a curated record. The transcript is spliced from 3 exons.